Molecule: unclassified non-coding RNA, 349 nt
Filed under: soil metagenome
Description: partial contains 5.8S ribosomal RNA, internal transcribed spacer 2, and large subunit ribosomal RNA
Rfam family: 5.8S ribosomal RNA (bases 1-120)
Source: RNAcentral
GAUGAAGAACGUAGUGAAAUGCGAUAACUAAUGUGAAUUGCAGAAUUCCGUGAAUCAUCGAGUCUUUGAACGCACAUUGCGCCCCCUGGUAUUCCGGGGGGCAUGCCUGUCCGAGCGUCAUUGCUGCCCAUCAAGCACGGCUUGUGUGUUGGGUCCUCGUCCCCCCCGGGGGACGUGCCCGAAAGGCAGCGGCGGCACCGCGUCCGGUCCUCGAGCGUAUGGGGCUUUGUCACCCGCUCUGCAGGCCCGGCCGGCGCUGGCCGACGCGAAAGCAACCAUUUUUUCUCCAGGUUGACCUCGGAUCAGGUAGGGAAACCCGCUGAACUUAAGCAUAUCAAUAAGCGGAGGA